GUCAUUCAUGACAAUUAAACAGAAUCCACAUACUAUAUGCGACCAUUCUUGGAUGAAAUUAAUAUUACUUUAAUUAUACACUUUUUGAAACCAUUUUUAUCAAUUUUCAAUUUCCAUUGUCUAAAUUGUUCAUUGUUCAUGUGUUGUUUCCGUAUAUUUUAUGUUUCAUUGUUCAUGUGUUGUUUCCGUAUAUUUAAUGUUUCAUUGUUCAUGUGUUGUUUCCGUAUAUUUUAGCCGCUCGUCUUGAGCCUACCCAUUUGAUCCGAUAACACCCCAUAUAGCAAUACAAUUAUACUUUUAUUGCCAUUCAUAACUCUUAACAGACUAAUUAGCAGACCGGAUUUUAUACAUCGACCCAUUAAC
Molecule: long non-coding RNA, 363 nt
Filed under: Mytilus galloprovincialis (Mediterranean mussel)
Lineage: Eukaryota; Metazoa; Mollusca; Bivalvia; Mytilida; Mytilidae
Source: RNAcentral